RNAcentral lists this long non-coding RNA (840 nucleotides) under Sinocyclocheilus anshuiensis. RNAcentral's name for it is "lncRNA (ENSSANG00000009764.1)". Lineage: Eukaryota; Metazoa; Chordata; Actinopteri; Cypriniformes; Cyprinidae. The record is from RNAcentral.
AAGACAUGUUUGAAAAUGGAAAAAUUUAAAAAUCUUUUUAUUUUAAUUUAGAAUCCUGCACCACAUGUUUCUGCCUUCAAAGCAGCUCCGCUUUACCUGGAGUGUGACCUGGACUUUCAUUUGUGCCCACUGCCACGAUACACCAUCCCUAAAGGCGAUGUCGUGGGUGUGCAUCUCCCUCCAACACAGAAGAAAUUUCUAGAUAGAAAGGAUAUAAUCAAAGGGAUUAUGGCAUGGAAGAAGUUUCCCUCUGUGGCCUUAAGCACUUUAUCCAAUAUUUCGACUAUAAGAGGCGACUGCGCCCCACAUGUGUCUGACCCCUUCGAUAUCAUCCUGCUGCCUGUGGAGGCUCCUCCAGCUCUUCAGGAUCUGCCCGACAGCAUCAGAGAUGAGAUUCAAGCUGGAGUGUAAAUACAGAUUAGCCACCAGCUUCAAUAACCCCUCUGCCUUUGAUUGUUUGUCACAGCAUUUACAGAUUCAUGAUGGUUUGAUUUCUCUGGCAGGUCCGAGAGCUCAGAUCUUCGUCUCACUCCUGAGAUGGUUGAGGCAGAGUUCGGCCUGUCUGAGAGAGCUUCAGCUACAUCUAUUAAAGAGGAUGGAGAUGAAGACAACGGGUUGGUACAAUGGGUUAUCAAAUCAUUGACACUUGCUAAUUGACUUGUGUUUAUCAUGGUUAUGUUGAGGUUGAUGUAUGAAUGAAUAGAAACCUAAACUUAAUCUUUUUGUCUGCAAGUCUCAGAACUCCAGGUGCAACAGUCGCCUCUGCAGAAACAGCCAUGAGGUGAGAACCAUCACUUCGAUCAUUUCACAUGUUGUAGAAAAUAAUCCUCAUAUAGAUAA